Molecule: unclassified non-coding RNA, 416 nt
Filed under: soil metagenome
Description: partial contains 5.8S ribosomal RNA, internal transcribed spacer 2, and large subunit ribosomal RNA
Rfam family: 5.8S ribosomal RNA (bases 1-120)
Source: RNAcentral
GAUGAAGAACGUAGCGAAAUGCGAUAAGUAAUGUGAAUUGCAGAAUUCAGUGAAUCAUCGAAUCUUUGAACGCACCUUGCACUCCUUGGUAUUCCGAGGAGUACGCCUGUUCGAGUGUUAUGAAGCUCUCAAAACGCAAUUGGCUUAAAACCUGAUUGUUGUUUUGGAUUUGAACUUUGCCGUGUUAUAACGGCUGGUUUUAAAAGUAUUAGCUGGUACUAGAACGAAUUGGUUCUACUCAACGUGAUAAUUAUCUGAUCGUUGAGGACAUUCCUUUCACGAGGAAUGGCCAUAGUAAAUUCAAUGGACUGCUUCUAAUCUGGCUUUAAUUCUUUACUGGAUUAACCACUUUUCAAAUCUGACCUCGAAUCAGGUGGGACUACCCGCUGAACUUAAGCAUAUCAAUAAGCGGAGGA